AGGACGAACGCUGGCGGCGUGCUUAACACAUGCAAGUCGAGCGGUAAGGCCUUUCGGGGUACACGAGCGGCGAACGGGUGAGUAACACGUGGGUGAUCUGCCCUGCACUUCGGGAUAAGCCUAGGGAAACUGGGUACUAAUACCGGAUAUGACCUCCUAUCGCAUGGUGGGUGGUGGAAAGAUUUAUCGGUGCAGGAUGGGCCCGCGGCCUAUCAGCUUGUUGGUGGGGUAAUGGCCUACCGAAGGCGACGACGGGUAGCCGACCGUGAGAGGGUCGACCGGCCACGACGUGGGACUGAGACACGGCCCAGUACUCCGUACGGGGAGCCAGGCGAGGUGGGGAAUAGUUGGACAC
Molecule: ribosomal RNA, 355 nt
Filed under: uncultured soil bacterium
Lineage: Bacteria
Description: bacterial SSU rRNA
Rfam family: Bacterial small subunit ribosomal RNA
Source: RNAcentral